Molecule: ribosomal RNA, 350 nt
Filed under: uncultured bacterium
Lineage: Bacteria
Description: bacterial SSU rRNA
Rfam family: Bacterial small subunit ribosomal RNA
Source: RNAcentral
AGAGUUUGAUCAUGGCUCAGGACGAACGCUGGCGGCGCGCCUAACACAUGCAAGUUGAACGAGAGAGAGGGAGCUUGCUUCCUUGAUCGAGUGGCGAACGGGUGAGUAACGCGUGAGGAACCUGCCUCAAAGAGGGGGACAACAGUUGGAAACGACUGCUAAUACCGCAUAAGCCCACGGCUCGGCAUCGAGCAGAGGGAAAAGGAGCAAUCCGCUUUGAGAUGGCCUCGCGUCCGAUUAGCUAGUUGGUGAGGUAACGGCCCACCAAGGCGACGAUCGGUAGCCGGACUGAGAGGUUGAACGGCCACAUUGGGACUGAGACACGGCCCAGACUCCUACGGGAGGCAGCA